Molecule: non-coding RNA, 105 nt
Organism: Mesocricetus auratus (golden hamster)
Lineage: Eukaryota; Metazoa; Chordata; Mammalia; Rodentia; Cricetidae
Source: Rfam
GGACGCUUCGCCAGCACACACACUAAAAUUGGAACUACACAGAGAGGAUUAGCAUGGCCCCUGUGCAAGGAUGACACGCAAAUUCAUGAAGUGUUCUGUAUUUUG